GACAGAGGGUGCAAACGUUGUUCGGAUUUACUGGGCGUAAAGCGCACGUAGGCGGGUCGUUAAGUCGAGGGUGAAAUCCUGGAGCUCAACUCCAGAACUGCCUUCGAUACUGGCGACCUAGAGUCCGGAAGAGGUGAGUGGAACUCCUAGUGUAGAGGUGGAAUUCGUAGAUAUUAGGAAGAACACCAGUGGCGAAGGCGGCUCACUGGUCCGGUACUGACGCUGAGGUGCGAAAGCGUGGGGAGCGAACCGG
Molecule: ribosomal RNA, 253 nt
Filed under: uncultured bacterium
Lineage: Bacteria
Description: partial 16S ribosomal RNA
Rfam family: Bacterial small subunit ribosomal RNA
Source: RNAcentral